This 1159-nucleotide long non-coding RNA is filed under the name Oryza sativa tropical japonica subgroup. RNAcentral's name for it is "lncRNA OsKeNa_06g0014550". The record is from RNAcentral. Lineage: Eukaryota; Viridiplantae; Streptophyta; Magnoliopsida; Poales; Poaceae.
UGAGGACAAGAUUCAUGACCCUUACAUCAUCGCCAAGGACUCUCUUGAGGUCACGCCCACCAUGUGUUCGAUGAAAUGCUCCAUCCCCGACACCGAGUCCAAUCUCACCAUGGUUGCAGAGGUGACCUACGCUAGUACAGCCACUGUCUCUAUGGAGUUGGUAGCUGCUCAGGAAGCCAUUGAUGCCACGUACAGUGACACCUCUGACCAUUCCAAGAUGAUGCACACCAAGUGUUUGACGGUUGUCCUCGAUGCCAUUGGUGACACCGGUUAAGCUAUGGUUGUGUUCCAGACCUGGACAGAUGCAUUCAAGGAUGUUCCGACCUCCGUUCAGUUCAUGGACUUUUUCUCAUCAAGUAUGAUGGCUAACAUCAAGUGGAACACACCAAUACCCAUUAAGUAUUCGGUGCAGUUCCUUGGGCAUGACAUGUUGGCUACAAACCCUCUUGAUGUUAACUCAUGGCCACCUCCUUGGUCAGAUGGAGUGAUUAGAGGUAGAGACUUAAGGCCUUCGCCAUGGCCGGGAUUCAAUUUCUGUGGGACGGUGGAACACUUGAUGCCACCAUGGCCACCCCCAACUCAGCCAAUGCCUCUAACGUAUCCAUCAAAAUUUAGCCUUGUGUUUACAAUAGAUGGAGUACACAUUGAUUGGAAUCUUGUUGUUGCAGUGCAUAAGAUUUUUUGGAGUGUGAUGAUCAAAUCAAUGAGACAUGUACCAAGCAUCAGUAGUGAGCUGGAUGACAUCCAAGGGAAAUCCACUAUGAUAUUUAUUGAUGUUACAAUCCCUGAAGGAUGUAAUCCAAAGAAAUCAGGCUCUGCGACAACAGAAACAAUAUUCAACUCAUUCUCAGAACUAUUAGAUGUGCACUUGACUACUAUUGAAAUGCUUGUCUCCAAAAGAAGCCAAGAAAUUCGUUGUUGGCAGGGAGCUCUUGAGUUGCAAGUCAGUGUGCUCUUCUGGUUACUGGCAAGGAACAUCAAUCCUCCUAAAUUUGAAGUACAAGUACUGCAGUUUUUAUUGAGGGUGCUCAUUGGCAGCUUAAGUGAAAAAUACUCUGGUAAUACUAUUGAUCUUGAGCUAUCAAGAUCACUUCAAUCUGGGACACAUAUUCUUGACCUUUAUUCUGCAGAGGAGCACAUUUCCGACAAUUUCCUUAAU